Molecule: ribosomal RNA, 353 nt
Filed under: Pycnococcus provasolii
Lineage: Eukaryota; Viridiplantae; Chlorophyta; Pseudoscourfieldiophyceae; Pseudoscourfieldiales; Pycnococcaceae
Description: partial Bacterial large subunit ribosomal RNA
Rfam family: Bacterial large subunit ribosomal RNA
Source: RNAcentral
CCGACAGGCGUAGUCGAUGGACAUCCGGUUGAUAUUCCGGAACCGGCGAAGAACCGCCCAUGACGAACCUUGUGAUGCUAAGUGCCUGAAACCGUCCCACCGAGACUUCGGUCUCAUCGGGGCGGCGGAGCGCACGACCCGAACUGGUAGUAGUCAAGCGAUGGAGUGACGCAGGAAGGUAGCCUCCGCGUGGCGAUGGUUGUCCACGUCCAAGGGUGUAGGGCGCGGUCCAGGCAAAUCCGGACCGCAUGAAGCCUGAGACCUGAUAGUGACCGCGAAUGCGGGAAGAGGGUGAUCCUAUGCUGCCGAGAAAAACUUCUAGCGAGGUUCGAGCCGCCCGUACCCCAAACCGA